Propithecus coquereli (Coquerel's sifaka) is the source of this 96-nucleotide unclassified non-coding RNA. It matches the Rfam family "Y RNA". From Rfam's summary of the family: Y RNAs are components of the Ro ribonucleoprotein particle (Ro RNP), in association with Ro60 and La proteins. The record is from Ensembl. Lineage: Eukaryota; Metazoa; Chordata; Mammalia; Primates; Indriidae.
GGCUAUUUGGUUUACAAGUAAGUGAUCACAACCAGUACCAGUUACAGAUUCCUUUGUUCCUUCCCCACUCCCACUGCUUCACUUGACCAGCCUUAA